CCAAUUUUUAUACUAAUCGAAAUGACCAUCUAGCAAUGGUACCCGACGUCCGGAUAGGUCGAAGAGUCGCAAUCGCAACACUCAGAACCUACAUGAAUAUGGUUACUGUAUAAUUCAUCCUUUUGACCCCUGUGUUUAGGAUGACUCAGGGUUAAACUGUCAACCCUGAUCAGAUCAUCCGAAUCAUGCUCAACUCAAACAGUCCUGUGACUCCUCACAAGGACUACCCUGGCCAAGAUUUUGCUAAAUUGAAAUACGACUGUACACAGCUCCUAAACUGGAGUGGUCAAUCCCAUCUUGACACACGCACCGACAAGUAAAGUACUUGACUACACC
RNAcentral lists this long non-coding RNA (336 nucleotides) under Elaeis guineensis (African oil palm). RNAcentral describes it as "long non-coding RNA (EGUI_LNC027832)". The record is from RNAcentral. Lineage: Eukaryota; Viridiplantae; Streptophyta; Magnoliopsida; Arecales; Arecaceae.